Molecule: unclassified non-coding RNA, 226 nt
Filed under: uncultured Arthropsis
Lineage: Eukaryota; Fungi; Ascomycota; Sordariomycetes
Description: sequence contains ITS1
Source: RNAcentral
CAGUGCCAGCCGGGCCCCCCCGUUGCACCCCGCAAGGGAUGCUGCAUGGGCGGUGGCCCUGGCUAAACGGCCCCACACUUGUCUAUCGACCGCGUUGUCUCGGCGGGACGUCCGCAUCGUCGGCGACCGGGGAGCCCCUGAGGUCCCCUGGCCAGCGCCCGCCCGAGUACCGUUCGAACCACUGUUUUCAGCUAGUGAAGUCUGAGAGAAUAUUUUUAAUAUUACA